RNAcentral lists this ribosomal RNA (764 nucleotides) under uncultured Actinomycetes bacterium. Its description in RNAcentral is "bacterial SSU rRNA". It matches the Rfam family "Bacterial small subunit ribosomal RNA", at positions 70 to 845 of the family's 1533-position model. Lineage: Bacteria; Bacillati; Actinomycetota; Actinomycetes. The record is from RNAcentral.
AGGCCCUGCUUUUGUGGGGUGCUCGAGUGGCGAACGGGUGAGUAACACGUGAGUAACCUGCCCUUGACUUUGGGAUAACUUCAGGAAACUGGGGCUAAUACCGGAUAGGAGCUCCUGCUGCAUGGUGGGGGUUGGAAAGUUUCGGCGGUUGGGGAUGGACUCGCGGCUUAUCAGCUUGUUGGUGGGGUAGUGGCUUACCAAGGCUUUGACGGGUAGCCGGCCUGAGAGGGUGACCGGCCACAUUGGGACUGAGAUACGGCCCAGACUCCUACGGGAGGCAGCAGUGGGGAAUAUUGCACAAUGGGCGGAAGCCUGAUGCAGCAACGCCGCGUGCGGGAUGACGGCCUUCGGGUUGUAAACCGCUUUCGCCUGUGACGAAGCGUGAGUGACGGUAAUGGGUAAAGAAGCACCGGCUAACUACGUGCCAGCAGCCGCGGUGAUACGUAGGGUGCGAGCGUUGUCCGGAUUUAUUGGGCGUAAAGGGCUCGUAGGUGGUUGAUCGCGUCGGAAGUGUAAUCUUGGGGCUUAACCCUGAGCGUGCUUUCGAUACGGGUUGACUUGAGGAAGGUAGGGGAGAAUGGAAUUCCUGGUGGAGCGGUGGAAUGCGCAGAUAUCAGGAGGAACACCAGUGGCGAAGGCGGUUCUCUGGGCCUUUCCUGACGCUGAGGAGCGAAAGCGUGGGGAGCGAACAGGCUUAGAUACCCUGGUAGUCCACGCUGUAAACGGUGGGUACUAGGUGUGGGGUCCAUUCCACGGGUUCCGUG